GAAAUGCGAUAAGUAAUGUGAAUUGCAGAAUUCAGUGAAUCAUCGAAUCUUUGAACGCACCUUGCGCUCCUUGGUAUUCCGAGGAGUAUGCCUGUUUGAGUGUCAUUUAAUUCUCAACCCCUCCAGCUUUUGUGGCUGGUUUUGGUGGCUUGGAUGUGGGGGAUUUGCGGGCCUCUCUGGAGGUCGGCUCCUCUGAAAUGCAUUAGCGGAACCGUUUGCGGGAACUGUCACUGGUGUGAUAAUUAUCUAUGCCAAAAGACAACUGCUUUCUGGUACUUCUGCUUCUAAUUGUCCGCCAUUGGACAACUAUAUUUUGAAUGCUUGACCUCAAAUCAGGUAGGACUACCCGCUGAACUUAA
This 359-nucleotide unclassified non-coding RNA is filed under the name uncultured Tulostoma. RNAcentral describes it as "sequence contains ITS1". The stretch from base 1 to 105 matches the Rfam family "5.8S ribosomal RNA", at positions 50 to 154 of the family's 154-position model. Lineage: Eukaryota; Fungi; Basidiomycota; Agaricomycetes; Agaricales; Agaricaceae. The record is from RNAcentral.